RNAcentral lists this long non-coding RNA (840 nucleotides) under Mytilus galloprovincialis (Mediterranean mussel). The record is from RNAcentral. Lineage: Eukaryota; Metazoa; Mollusca; Bivalvia; Mytilida; Mytilidae.
GCGACUCUUCUUUGGUAACGUGGUUCUCUGGUAUCGUGGUAUUCGGGUAGAUCUACAGUUGGUUCUGUAUAGGUUUUGUGGUACGUUGUGGUAUUCUGAUAGAUCUUAGUUUGGUUCCGUUUAGGUUUUUGUAAGAAUAACAGACUCGUCGAAUAAAAAUCAACUUGUAUUUUAUACGUGCAAUAAAUAUCAGCAAUUCGUAGACAUAAUAAAUAACUUAAGUAACAGUAUUCUUGUUUAACAAAUAAAUACCUUACUUUAUUAGAAUAUCGUAAAGAAAAUGGAUAGCGGAACUAUAAUACAUAAAUACCUAGAAAGUUUACGAACAAGAUAGUUUGGUAAUCGGCAAAUGGUAACGGAAAUUCAAUGUCAAAACUGAUAACGUUUCUCUCGAGAAGUAAUUCUCUAAAUACAACUUGUUAUGGAACUAACAAGCCAACAUUAUACGGAAAUAGUCUGGUUAUUUCUGGUUAUUCAAUCGCUUGGAAUUAGCGAGUGUCACUUGCCCAGGGUAAAGUCGUACUGAAGCCUUUUUGGCUUACUCCACUGUAUUUAUACUUUGGUAAACCAUUACCAAAAUGGUUUAACAUUUACCAUUUCGGCUUACCAUUUCCGCUUACCAUUUACCUAAAUUACCAAACCCAGAGCCGACGUCAUAGAAAAAUUAGGUUAUGACGUCAUUGGUGUACUUAAAAUGAAGUAAACAAUUCACAGCUGUUCCGAUAUAGUAAAAACAUGGACGUUAAGAAUAAUAAAAAGUUAACAAUGUUUACACAAAGUUGUACAAGAAAUUUAAAAUAAACACAGUCAUUUAACGGUAAGGUUUUAACAACAUCAUCA